RNAcentral lists this non-coding RNA (28 nucleotides) under Cricetulus griseus (Chinese hamster). Lineage: Eukaryota; Metazoa; Chordata; Mammalia; Rodentia; Cricetidae. The record is from RNAcentral.
CUGCUACAACUGUGGCAAGCCAGGGCAU